GUGGGGAAUUUUGCACAAUGGGGGAAACCCUGAUGCAGCGACGCCGCGUGAUUUAGAAGGCCUUCGGGUUGUAAAAAUCUUUUCUAUGGGAAGAAAAUGACAGUACCAUAGGAAUAAGGACCGGCUAAUUACGUGCCAGCAGCCGCGGUAAUACGUAAGGUCCGAGCGUUGUCCGGAAUCAUUGGGCGUAAAGGGUACGUAGGCGGGUAAGCAAGUUAGAAGUGAAAUCCUAUAGCUCAACUAUAGUAAGCUUUUAAAACUGCUCAUCUUGAGGUAUGGAAGGGAAAGUGGAAUUCCUAGUGUAGCGGUGAAAUGCGCAGAUAUUAGGAGGAAUACCGGUGGCGAAGGCGACUUUCUGGCCAUAACCUGACGCUGAGGUACGAAAGCGUGGGUAGCAAACAGGA
This 404-nucleotide ribosomal RNA is filed under the name uncultured bacterium. Its description in RNAcentral is "bacterial SSU rRNA". It matches the Rfam family "Bacterial small subunit ribosomal RNA", at positions 354 to 777 of the family's 1533-position model. The record is from RNAcentral.